RNAcentral lists this ribosomal RNA (492 nucleotides) under uncultured bacterium. RNAcentral describes it as "partial 16S ribosomal RNA". It matches the Rfam family "Bacterial small subunit ribosomal RNA", at positions 28 to 507 of the family's 1533-position model. The record is from RNAcentral.
GAUGAACGCUAGCUAUAGGCUUAACACAUGCAAGUCGAGGGGAAACGGCAUUAUGUGCUUGCACAUUUUGGACGUCGACCGGCGCACGGGUGAGUAUCGCGUAUCCAACCUGCCCUUUACUUGGGGAUACCCCGUUGAAAGACGGCCUAAUACCCGAUGUAAUUCAUUGAUGGCAUCAGAUAUGAAUAAAAGAUUUAUCGGUAAAGGAUGGGGAUGCGUCUGAUUAGCUUGUUGGUGAGGUAACGGCUCACCAAGGCGACGAUCAGUAGGGGUUCUGAGAGGAAGGUCCCCCACAUUGGGACUGAGACACGGGCCAAACUCCUACGGGAGGCAGCAGUGAGGAAUAUUGGUCAAUGGGCGCAAGCCUGAACCAGCCAAGUAGCGUGCAGGAAGACGGCCCUAUGGGUUGUAAACUGCUUUUAUACGAGAAGAAUUUGAUGCACGUGUGCGUUAUUGCAUGUAUCGGAUGAAUAAGGACCGGCUAAUUCCGUG